GCCCAGUUAAAUGUGAAUUUCAUGUAAAAUUUUUUUUUUUUAGUAUAGUAAUGUCCCAGUUCUAACAUAUGGGACCUACUUAUGCUAAAAUACUAUUUGUUGUCUAUCUGAAGUUAAAAUUUAACUGGCCAUCCUAUAUUUU
RNAcentral lists this microRNA precursor (142 nucleotides) under Ovis aries (sheep). RNAcentral's name for it is "miRNA (ENSOARG00000023940.1)". Lineage: Eukaryota; Metazoa; Chordata; Mammalia; Artiodactyla; Bovidae. The record is from RNAcentral.